UGGGGAAUUUUGGACAAUGGGGGAAACCCUGAUCCAGCCAUCCCGCGUGUGCGAUGAAGGCCUUCGGGUUGUAAAGCACUCUUGGCAGGAAAGAAACGUCAUGGGUUAAUACCCCGUGAAACUGACGGUACCUGCAGAAUAAGCACCGGCUAACUACGUGCCAGCAGCCGCGGUAAUACGUAGGGUGCAAGCGUUAAUCGGAAUUACUGGGCGUAAAGCGUGCGCAGGCGGUUCGGAAAGAAAGAUGUGAAAUCCCAGAGCUCAACUUUGGAACUGCAUUUUUAACUACCGGGAUAGAGUGUGUCAGAGGGAGGUGGAAUUCCGCGUGUAGCAGUGAAAUGCGGAGAUAUGCGAAGGAACACCGAUGGCGAAGGCAGCCUCCUGGGAUAACACUGACGCUCAUGCACGAAAGCGUGGGGAGCAAACAGG
This 429-nucleotide ribosomal RNA is filed under the name Acidobacteriota bacterium. RNAcentral's name for it is "Acidobacteria bacterium partial 16S ribosomal RNA". It matches the Rfam family "Bacterial small subunit ribosomal RNA", at positions 355 to 776 of the family's 1533-position model. The record is from RNAcentral. Lineage: Bacteria; Pseudomonadati; Acidobacteriota.